ACCAAUUCUGAAGGAUAAAAUUGUUACUUUCAGUGUAAUGGCUCGGAGCCUCGGACGCCAAAUCAAUUGUGUGGUGAUCCUGAUUGAUGGCUUCUUCAAUGCCAUUUGGUCUUGGAAACGCCUCAUACAUUC
Molecule: small nucleolar RNA, 132 nt
Organism: Vicia villosa (hairy vetch)
Lineage: Eukaryota; Viridiplantae; Streptophyta; Magnoliopsida; Fabales; Fabaceae
Source: RefSeq, a predicted model, not a curated record